AUUAGCUCAGUUGGUAGAGCACCUGACUUUUAAUCAGGGUGUCGAAGGUUCGAGCCCUUCAU
This 62-nucleotide transfer RNA is filed under the name Paenibacillus amylolyticus. It matches the Rfam family "tRNA", at positions 6 to 65 of the family's 71-position model. Rfam says of the family: Transfer RNA (tRNA) molecules are approximately 80 nucleotides in length. Their secondary structure includes four short double-helical elements and three loops (D, anti-codon, and T loops). RNAcentral also lists the same sequence under 1 other name. Lineage: Bacteria; Bacillati; Bacillota; Bacilli; Caryophanales; Paenibacillaceae. The record is from RNAcentral.